AUAUUGCUCAAUGGGAGAAAUCCUGAAGCAGCAACGCCGCGUGGAGGAUGAAGGGUCUAUGACUUGUAAACUCCUGUAAAGAAGGAAAAAAUUCCCAUUAGAUGGGAGAUGAUGGUACUUCUGGAGUAAGCCCCGGCUAACUACGUGCCAGCAGCCGCGGUAAUACGUAGGGGGCAAGCGUUGUCCGGAUUUACUGGGUGUAAGGGGUGCUCAGGCGGAUUUGUAAGUAAGAGGUGAAAUCUUACAGCUUAACUGUGAAACUGCCUUUGAUACUGCAAGCCUAGAGUAUGGAAGAGAGUGAUGGAAUAUCUGGUGUAGCAGUGAAAUGCGUAGAUAUCAGAUAGAACACCAAUGGCGAAGGCAGUCACUUGGUCCAUUACUGACGCUAAAGCACGAAAGCGUGGGUAGCAAAC
RNAcentral lists this ribosomal RNA (413 nucleotides) under uncultured bacterium. Its description in RNAcentral is "bacterial SSU rRNA". It matches the Rfam family "Bacterial small subunit ribosomal RNA", at positions 361 to 773 of the family's 1533-position model. The record is from RNAcentral.